AACGAACGCUGGCGGCAUGCCUAACACAUGCAAGUCGAACGAGACCUUCGGGUCUAGUGGCGCACGGGUGCGUAACGCGUGGGAACCUGCCCUUAGGUUCGGAAUAACUCCCCGAAAGGGGUGCUAAUACCGGAUAAUGUCUUCGGACCAAAGAUUUAUCGCCUUUGGAUGGGCCCGCGUUGGAUUAGCUAGUUGGUAGGGUAAAAGCCUACCAAGGCGACGAUCCAUAGCUGGUCUGAGAGGAUGAUCAGCCACACUGGGACUGAGACACGGCCCAGACUGGUGCGGGGGGCAGCGGUGGGGAGUAGCGGACGAUGGGCAGAAGCCGCGACGAGCAGUGUGGGGUGGGUGAUGAAGGCAUGAGGGUGAGAAAGCUUGUUUCGCGGGGAAGAAAAGGAAAGGACCGGGAAAAUACGCGCCGGCGAACGCCUGGCCAGCAGGAGGGUGAUUAAGAGAAGAGAAACCUCUUGAUC
This 473-nucleotide ribosomal RNA is filed under the name uncultured bacterium. Its description in RNAcentral is "partial 16S ribosomal RNA". It matches the Rfam family "Bacterial small subunit ribosomal RNA", at positions 36 to 538 of the family's 1533-position model. The record is from RNAcentral.